UUAGAGUUUGGAUCCUGGCUCAGGAUGAACGCUGGCGGCGUGCCUAAUACAUGCAAGUCGAGCGAACAGAUAAGGAGCUUGCUCCUUUGACGUUAGCGGCGGACGGGUGAGUAACACGUGGGUAACCUACCUAUAAGACUGGGAUAACUUCGGGAAACCGGAGCUAAUACCGGAUAAUAUUUCGAACCGCAUGGUUCGAUAGUGAAAGAUGGUUUUGCUAUCACUUAUAGAUGGACCCGCGCCGUAUUAGCUAGUUGGUAAGGUAACGGCUUACCAAGGCGACGAUACGUAGCCGACCUGAGAGGGUGAUCGGCCACACUGGAACUGAGACACGGUCCAGACUCCUACGGGAGGCAGCAGUAGGGAAUCUUCCGCAAUGGGCGAAAGCCUGACGGAGCAACGCCGCGUGAGUGAUGAAGGUCUUCGGAUCGUAAAACUCUGUUAUUAGGGAAGAACAUACGUGUAAGUAACUGUGCACGUCUGAC
This 485-nucleotide ribosomal RNA is filed under the name Staphylococcus sp. EF1A-B1042. Its description in RNAcentral is "bacterial SSU rRNA". It matches the Rfam family "Bacterial small subunit ribosomal RNA", at positions 1 to 473 of the family's 1533-position model. Lineage: Bacteria; Bacillati; Bacillota; Bacilli; Caryophanales; Staphylococcaceae. The record is from RNAcentral.